ACCUAUAGAUGAAACUCAUAACAUCUACUGUCCCUAGCCCAGCACUUGGCUCUCAGUCUCUUCAUCUCCUGAAAUAGAAGAGUUGGACCACAUGACCUUGAGAUUACUAUCUGAAACACUUCCUAUGCAGGCUGGGGUGAAGGUGUCCUUCCUGCUCCUGGGUUCAGUGAGGAAUUUAGAUGUCUUUCUCAAGAUUUUCUGAGAGGACAAAAGGCGAUUACUGUGGACUCCUCUAAAGGCUGCAGCCAUAAGGAAAGAAAAAUUUCUAAUCUGAAGAAAUGAAACGAAGUUACAAAUGAAACAAAGAAAUGAAACAAAGUUACAAAGAAGUACUUAGCCUCCUGAGAGGACCAUCCCUGCACCCUUGCUGUGCUCAGGAGUCUUGAGCUCUUAGAGGCUAAGGCAUCUCAUUAGCUACCCUAGGCAGAAAAUGUGAAGAAGGCCUUAGCAGGCAGCUUUGCCCUGGGAUGCCGCUCUCCACCUUGUUUUUCAUGUGCUGGUGCUGCUUUUGCCUAACUCUCUGACCAACUGCCUGAAUCAAUAUGACAGAGCAGCCCUAUCCUGGUUGACAUUCCUGGACUUGGCUUCUCCCCUGCUGGUCUCAUGGCGCUCACCUGAUCCUUCCUCCCGGAAGGUUUCACACAGAGCACUUCUAGGUAGCCGUGCCCUGGGCAAUGUGACUCACUGACCAGCUGACACACUUCAAAUUCCAAAGCUGUCAGGGUUCACUUUGACUCAUCAUCCUAUCGACAUGUACAUGCAGGCUGAUCAAUUUCCAGUGACCUGCCUCUGGAUAGUAAAGUCCCUGAGGACAAUGACCAUGUCCAUGUGUCCGCUUUGUUCACCAAUUGCACACUCAGGACCAUAGAAGACUCCUAGAAGAACCUGGUGACUAAAUGAAUAUAGGAAGAAUCUACUUAGGCUCCCUUUUCCCCUGCCAUAUAAAACAGCUUAAGUCAUUGCAGAAAAUCCACUUGAGCGGGGAUUGGCAGACAUUUUCUGUAAGCAAUCAGCUAGUACAUCUGGGCAAAAUAGUAAGACCUCGCCCCUAUAAAAUAAAUUAAAAAUCAGCUGGGCAUGGUGGCAAGUACCCAUAGUCCAGCUAUUUGGGAGGCUGAGCUGGGAGGAUUGCUUGAGCCUGGCAGGGUAAUAAGCCUGAUGGCACCACAGCACUCCAACCUUGGCAACAGAGUGAGACUCUGUCUCAAAACAAAUCUGGGAUUCCCAGGCAAGUGGCAAAAUCGAGGUUAUGAUAUAGGUACUUAAAAAGCAAAAGAGAAAACAAAUUCCUAUGAUAUUUGUAUUAGUGAAGUUCAAAAUAUAAUAAUGAAUACAGUUUUUAGAUAAAACACAUCUCCUAAUAAGAAGAUUAAAAUUCUUUUUUCAUAAAUAGCAUUUUCCUUAGUUGGGGCUCAAAGUGUUCUAUCAUUAAAAUCAAUCGCAAAUGUUCAUCUGUUAAUGCUGAUGUGUAAAGAGAUUUUAUGUAUUUCAUAUUUGAUUUUCAUAUAAUUCGCAUAUGUCAUAAAAUAUUCUUUUAUUUUUUUUAUUGAUUCUUAGCUUGAGGGCAGCACAAAAACAGACAGUGGGCUGGAUUUGGCUUCAGGCUGUAGUUUGUCAGCCCCUGCACUUGAGGAUACUAGAGAGUAAAGUAUUCUCAUUCUCUCUCUCUCUCGCUCUCUCUCUUUCUGGCCUCAAUCUUCCAAGUCCUGCAUUUUCUAAAACCUUGGGGUUUCCAAGACACUUUCACUCCUGUUCUUGGUGCCCCUUCCUUCUCAAAGAAGGAAACACAAGUCUGAGCCUGACAACUCCAGAGAAUAGGUCCCAGGGGCUUCGUUAUUUCCCAACUGAGCAGAGUCAGAGCUGCUAAAGGCCUUUCCUUUUCCAAAGCUGGCAUUAGCUCUCUGUCAACCACACAAAAACCGCUGGGAAGGGCUUGCCUGUGCUGCUUCUCCACCUCAAACCACAGAAGAAGGGCGGCCUCAGAGAGGCUGGGUAAUGGGAAACAGUUGUGCUUGCCCAGCCCCGCUCACGGAGGGAACAUAAUCAAAUGCAUAAAAUCUCAUUGCAUCCUGAAAAACAUAUCAUUUUGGGAAGACAACUGACCACAGCACAGAGUUCAGUGUUGGCAAAAUGACAUAAAUAAUGCACUACAAGGACUUCACCUUUUGUAAAUAUAGAGAAUACUAAGGAGAUCAGAUACUUGUGAAAGCAUCAAUCAUUCAUGGAUUCAUUAAUCUAUUCAACAAAUUUUUCAAGGGUCUCUCAUGUGUCAGGCACCAUAUCAGGCCAUGAGCAUACUGCACACUGCAGAAAAUAAGACAGUCUCUGCUGUCAUGAAGUUUGUAAUGGUGUUUAAGAGCAUUUGCUAAAGCUCAGUGUUCCAUGGUACAUUAUAAAUAUUUCUUGAAUUAAAAUGAUUGCAUGGUGAAAUAGUUGGGGAAAACAGGGGUUAAUAAAAUAACCAGGUUACUUGAUUGUGAAA
Long non-coding RNA from Pan troglodytes (chimpanzee), 2482 nucleotides. RefSeq lists it as uncharacterized. The transcript is spliced from 2 exons. The record is from RefSeq and is a predicted model, not a curated record. NCBI's taxonomy places the organism in Eukaryota, Metazoa, Chordata, Mammalia, Primates, Hominidae.